AUUUAAUUCAGGUAAAUUUGUUUGCAGGUUCUUCUUCUCCAUCUUAAUUGAUUCUAUCUUAACAAAAGAUUCAGCGUAUAGCUUCUCCAAUGAUUAACGUAAGAGCAGAAUAAAUCAAGAGUGCCUGCAAAUCUGAAGCUUGUACUCAAUCUAUGCACCACGACCAGUUGUACGCCAUUUUUCUCAGCGUAUAUAUGGUGCACUUAAAUAGAUCGAUGUAUCUCAAGCUUCUAGAAUGGAGUGUGGGGUGUGCAUAAAUUUCCAUCUAAAAUUUUAGCAAGGAACUGCAAAUAUCGGAGAGCAUUGACAACGUUGUGAUUAUGGAUUCUUCUAAUGCAUCAAAUUCAAAUGCCACAAACACUACCUGAUGACUUGAUGUUGGACUCUAAUUAUGGGCUACUUGGUGGAGAUGAUGGAGCUACGGAAGAUUAUGAUAUCUAUGAUGAAUCGAAUGAUUUUGAUUAAAAUUGUAAUGUCCAUGUUUAAUUAUGUUUCCAGAUUGUGAACUUUAAAGUUGUGAAUUCUCCCAUUUUUCCAAUUUGAACUUCAUACGACGACUCUUAUGUUUUGAAUGAACUUGUUUGUUUUUCUAAAA
Papaver somniferum (opium poppy) is the source of this 595-nucleotide long non-coding RNA. RefSeq lists it as uncharacterized. The transcript has 4 exons. NCBI's taxonomy places the organism in Eukaryota, Viridiplantae, Streptophyta, Magnoliopsida, Ranunculales, Papaveraceae. The record is from RefSeq and is a predicted model, not a curated record.